Molecule: long non-coding RNA, 205 nt
Filed under: Linum usitatissimum (flax)
Lineage: Eukaryota; Viridiplantae; Streptophyta; Magnoliopsida; Malpighiales; Linaceae
Description: long non-coding RNA (LUSI_LNC008083)
Source: RNAcentral
GAAGAUCUCAAAUUCAUAAUUCAGCUUUUUUUAAGCUUGAGAUGGACAAGUCGAGUCACAAAAAGCAUAUCGAUAAUGUUAUGAAAAAUAUAUAUUUGGUACUUACUACGACCGUCUAAUAAAAAAAUGAAAAAUAGUUUGAAGUUUCCAUAGGGACUAAGGGGGUGGGAAAAGGAGGAAAGCGGGUGGGGGCCCGAAACCCGAA